UACGUAGGGACCAAGCGUUGUUCGGAUUUACUGGGCGUAAAGGGCGCGUAGGCGGCAAUUCAAGUCACUUGUGAAAUCUCCGAGCUUAACUCGGAACGGUCAAGUAAUACUGCUUUGCUAGAGUGCAGAAGGGGCAACCGGAAUUCUUGGUGUAGCGGUGAAAUGCGUAGAUAUCAAGAGGAACACCGGAGGUGAAGACGGGUUGCUGGGCUGACACUGACGCUGAGGCGCGAAAGCUAGGGUAGCAAACGGG
This 253-nucleotide ribosomal RNA is filed under the name uncultured bacterium. RNAcentral describes it as "partial 16S ribosomal RNA". It matches the Rfam family "Bacterial small subunit ribosomal RNA", at positions 524 to 776 of the family's 1533-position model. The record is from RNAcentral.